This 483-nucleotide ribosomal RNA is filed under the name uncultured bacterium. RNAcentral's name for it is "partial 16S ribosomal RNA". It matches the Rfam family "Bacterial small subunit ribosomal RNA", at positions 30 to 506 of the family's 1533-position model. The record is from RNAcentral.
AUUGAACGCUGGCGGCAGGCCUAACACAUGCAAGUCGAGCGGAUGAAGGGAGCUUGCUCCUGGAUUCAGCGGCGGACGGGUGAGUAAUGCCUAGGAAUCUGCCUGGUAGUGGGGGAUAACGUCCGGAAACGGGCGCUAAUACCGCAUACGUCCUGAGGGAGAAAGUGGGGGAUCUUCGGACCUCACGCUAUCAGAUGAGCCUAGGUCGGAUUAGCUAGUUGGUGGGGUAAAGGCCUACCAAGGCGACGAUCCGUAACUGGUCUGAGAGGAUGAUCAGUCACACUGGAACUGAGACACGGUCCAGACUCCUACGGGAGGCAGCAGUGGGGAAUAUUGGACAAUGGGCGAAAGCCUGAUCCAGCCAUGCCGCGUGUGUGAAGAAGGUCUUCGGAUUGUAAAGCACUUUAAGUUGGGAGGAAGGGCAGUAAGUUAAUACCUUGCUGUUUUGACGUUACCAACAGGAUAAGCACCGGCUAACUUCGU